CCGGCGCCGGGGGGCCCGGCGGCCGCGCCCGUCGGCGCUGCGGGCGCCGGGGCGGCCGUCCCUGCCGUCCCCUCGUGGUGUUCCGGAUCCGCACCGCGGGCC
RNAcentral lists this transfer RNA (102 nucleotides) under Streptomyces lavendulae subsp. lavendulae. RNAcentral describes it as "tRNA-Arg". Lineage: Bacteria; Bacillati; Actinomycetota; Actinomycetes; Kitasatosporales; Streptomycetaceae. The record is from RNAcentral.